CUGUCGUCAGCUCGUGUCGUGAGAUGUUGGGUUAAGUCCCGUAACGAGCGCAACCCUUGUCCUUAGUUACCAGCACCUCGGGUGGGCACUCUAAGGAGACUGCCGGUGACAAACCGGAGGAAGGUGGGGAUGACGUCAAGUCAUCAUGGCCCUUACGGCCAGGGCUACACACGUGCUACAAUGGUCGGUACAAAGGGUUGCCAAGCCGCGAGGUGGAGCUAAUCCCAUAAAACCGAUCGUAGUCCGGAUCGCAGUCUGCAACUCGACUGCGUGAAGUCGGAAUCGCUAGUAAUCGUGAAUCAGAAUGUCACGGUGAAUACGUUCCCGGGCCUUGUACACACCGCCCGUCACACCAUGGGAGUGGGUUGCUCCAGAAGUAGCUAGUCUAACCGCAAGGGGGACGGUUACCACGGAGUGAUUCAUGACUGGGGUGAAGUCGUAACAAGGUAGCCGUAGGGGAACCUGCGGCUGGA
This 473-nucleotide ribosomal RNA is filed under the name Pseudomonas aeruginosa. RNAcentral describes it as "bacterial SSU rRNA". It matches the Rfam family "Bacterial small subunit ribosomal RNA", at positions 1049 to 1522 of the family's 1533-position model. Lineage: Bacteria; Pseudomonadati; Pseudomonadota; Gammaproteobacteria; Pseudomonadales; Pseudomonadaceae. The record is from RNAcentral.